CAGUGGUUAAGUCACCGGGCUCGUGCCGUAAUGGCGCCGGUUCGAUUCCCGCUGCCUGC
This 59-nucleotide transfer RNA is filed under the name Eutreptiella gymnastica. RNAcentral's name for it is "partial tRNA". Lineage: Eukaryota; Euglenozoa; Euglenophyceae; Eutreptiales; Eutreptiaceae. The record is from RNAcentral.